Molecule: non-coding RNA, 45 nt
Organism: Schistosoma mattheei
Lineage: Eukaryota; Metazoa; Platyhelminthes; Trematoda; Strigeidida; Schistosomatidae
Source: Rfam
UUCCAGUUGACAAGUCCCAAAUAGAACGAGACGCUCGUCUUGGAU